This is a small nuclear RNA of Juglans microcarpa x Juglans regia, 102 nucleotides long. NCBI's taxonomy places the organism in Eukaryota, Viridiplantae, Streptophyta, Magnoliopsida, Fagales, Juglandaceae. The record is from RefSeq and is a predicted model, not a curated record.
UUUAUCAUUUAUAAGAGUGAGGUAUCACAAUACAGAGAAGAUUACUAACAUGGCUCCUGAGCAAGGAUGACACGCACAAAUUGAGAAAUUGUAUAAUAGCCU